AUGCUUGUCUCAAAGAUUAAGCCAUGCAUGUCUAAGUCCAAGCUGUGUUCACACGGCGAGACCGCGGACGGCUCAUUAAAUCAGUCGUGGUCCAAAUGGGCCAGUGCAAAUCCUACUUGGAUAACUGUGGUAAUUCCAGAGCUAAUACAUGCAACUGAUAUCCCGAAGGCGGUGUUGGGGCUUGCUUGCCUUGCGCUGCGCUGCUCUGACGGAUGCUUUUAUUAGACCAAGCCGCUGAGGACUUGAGGGUUCGCGCUCUCUUGUUUGACUCGUGUGAUGGUGACUCUGGAUAACCAAAUUCUGACAAGCGCACGUACUUCUCUUCUGAGCGAGACGGCGCUGCCACUUUCGAGUGUCUGCCUUAUCAGCUAUCAACCGUUCGUUAUGCGCGACCGAUGGCUUUGACGGGUAACGGGGAAUCAGGGUUCGAUUCCGGAGAGGCAGCCUGAGAGACGGCUACCACGUCCAAGGACGGCAGCAGGCACGCAAAUUACCCAAUCCCAGCAAAUGGGGGAGGUAGUGACGAAAUCUAACGAUGCGGGCGCCCUUUCUGGGGCCCCGCAAUCGGAAUGGGCACUUUCUAAACAACCUGUUGAGAACCUAC
This 604-nucleotide ribosomal RNA is filed under the name Eulimnogammarus verrucosus. RNAcentral's name for it is "SSU rRNA". It matches the Rfam family "Eukaryotic small subunit ribosomal RNA", at positions 28 to 548 of the family's 1831-position model. Lineage: Eukaryota; Metazoa; Arthropoda; Malacostraca; Amphipoda; Eulimnogammaridae. The record is from RNAcentral.